RNAcentral lists this ribosomal RNA (357 nucleotides) under uncultured bacterium. RNAcentral's name for it is "bacterial SSU rRNA". It matches the Rfam family "Bacterial small subunit ribosomal RNA", at positions 537 to 896 of the family's 1533-position model. The record is from RNAcentral.
AGCGUUAUCCGGAUUCACUGGGUUUAAAGGGUGUGCAGGUGGGGUAAUAAGUCAGUGGUGAAAGCCCCCGACUCAAUCGGGGAACUGCAAUAGAUACUGUUAUUCUUGAGUGUGGUUGAGGCGGAUGGAAUAUGACAUGUAGCGGUGAAAUGCUUAGAUAUGUCAUAGAACACCGAUCGCGAAGGCAGUCCGCCAAACCAUUACUGACACUGAAACACGAAAGUGCGGGGAUCAAACAGGAUUAGAUACCCUGGUAGUCCGCACUGUAAACRAUGAUCACUCGUUGUUGGCGAUACACAGUCAGCGACUAAGCGAAAGCAUUAAGUGAUCCACCUGGGAAGUACGACCGCAAGGUUG